Rhincodon typus (whale shark) is the source of this 599-nucleotide long non-coding RNA. RefSeq lists it as uncharacterized. Lineage: Eukaryota; Metazoa; Chordata; Chondrichthyes; Orectolobiformes; Rhincodontidae. The transcript is spliced from 2 exons. The record is from RefSeq and is a predicted model, not a curated record.
UUUGUAGAAAUGGGAAGUUGUCCUCUUUUUGCUGAAGGCCAUUAAAUGACGCCUGGAGCAUUCAAGGUAGUACAUUCCAGAUCUGAAUCGCUUGUGUGAAAAUAUUAGGAAUGUGAUGGAAAACUCCCCACUUGGCUAGAUGAGUACAGCUCCAGCAAUACCCAAGAAACAUGACACUAUCCAGGGCAAAGAUUGCACCACACAUCUACAGGCAUCCACUCUCUCCACUGCUGACGCUCAGUAGCAGCAACAUUGUGUGCCAUCUACAAGAUACAUUGUGGAAAUUCAUCAAGGCUCAUUAGCAUCUUCCAAUCCCAUGAUUACUUCCAUCUUGGAGGAUAAAGGCGGCGCAUACAUGAGAACACUACCGCCUGCAGGCUCCUCUCCAAGCUGCUCACCAUCCUGACUUUAGAAAUAUAUUGCCAUUCCUUCAGUGUUGUUGGAUCAAAAUCCUGUAAUUCUUUCCCUAAUAGAGUGUAGCGUUUCAAGAAGACAGCUCACCACCUUCUCAAGGACAGCUAGGGAUGGGUGUAAAUUCCUCACCCAGCCAGCAACUCUUACAUCGCGAGAGUGAACAAAAUAAAAAACAAAGUUUUUAA